UCUGGCCAGGCUCCCGGGAGGCGGCGGGCGACUUCCGGCAAUAAGCCUCCGCUCCGCCGUCCGGUGGGGAGCGAGGGCGUCUGCGCUCCGGGCGGGGACUGAGGCGGCGCGCGCUCCAGGUGGGGACGGUGACCGCCUCCCCAGCCGUCCCCGCGCCAGGAGAACUAUGCCAUUUUUGGGUCAGGACUGGAGAUCUCCUGGAUGGAGCUGGAUUAAGACAGAAGAUGGCUGGAAGAGAUGUGAAUCCUGGAGUCGGGACCUGGAAAGAGAGACUAACCCGCGUACUAUCAGUCACAGCAUUAUCUUAAAUAGUGACGAUGAAGAAAUAUUCAGUAAUGAAGAGCAGGAAUACACAUCCAAAAAGAGGAAAAAGGAUCAUUUUAGAAAUGAUACAGAUACUCAAUGUUUUUAUCGUGAGAAAUGGAUCUAUGUCCAUAAAGAAAGCACGAGAGAAAGGCACGGCUAUUGUACUUUGGGAGAGGCUUUUAAUCGCUUAGACUUCUCAAGUGCAAUUCAGGAUAUUCGAAGGUUCACCUACGUGGUCAAACUCCUGCAGCUAAUUGCGAAAUCCCAGUUAACGUCGCUGAGCGGCGUGGCGCAGAAGAAUUACUUCAACAUUUUGGACAAAAUUGUCCGGAAGGUCCUCGACGACCACCAGAACCCCCGCCUCAUCAAGGACCUCCUGCAGGACCUGAGCUCCACCCUGUGCAUCCUCAUCCGGGGCGUCGGGAAGUCCGUGCUGGUGGGAAACAUCAACAUCUGGAUCUGCCGUCUGGAGACCAUCCUCCACUGGCAGCAGCAGCUGCAGAACCUGCAGGUCACUAAGGUGAACGACGGCCUCACGCUCAGUGACCUCCCUUUGCACAUGCUCAACAACAUCCUGUACAGACUCUCCGAUGGCUGGGACAUCGUCACGCUAGGCCAGGUGACCCCGACACUGUCCAUGCUCAGCGAGGACAGGCAUCUGUGGAAGAAACUCUGUCAGUACCACUUUGCCGAGAAGCAGACAUCUGAUCCUGUCGGAGAAGGGCCACGUGGAGUGGAAGCUGAUGUACUUCGCGCUCCAGAAGCACUACCCGCCCCGGGAGCAGUAUGGGGACACCCUGCACUUCUGCCGACACUGCAGCAUCCUCUUCUGGAAGGACUGCCGCCUUGCUUUGUUGUUCAAGGACUCGGGGCAUCCCUGCACCGCCACCGACCCCGACAGUUGCUUCAUGCCUGUGUCUCCGCAGCACUUCAUCGACCUGUUCAAGUUCUGAGGGCGCCCGCCCGCAGCCCGCCCUCCCGGUGGGAGGGGUUCACCGCGCUGUGCCGUCGCCGGGGAGCGACCUGAACACGGACAACACACUCCCCCCUCCCCGCCUGGACAUGGCAGGGGCCUUGGUUUGUUGUGAAAGGGGUCGGAGAACCCAAGCAAAAUCAUUUCUGCUUUCUCUAAAAGUCCUCUUCAUCUAAGCCCAUUAAGUGUCGCUGUCUGUGCUGACCUGGUGCUGAGGGCCAAGGACGUGCUGCCCUCUGGACGCGGCAUGGAGCCUGGGGCGUCUGUUUCCCCUUUCCGUUUGACAACCAGCCGUGUUUUCAGAAGCAUGUUUGAAAACGUGGGUCUUGCUGGCCGGCAGGGCACUGCUGGUUCCUGCUGUCCCCCAGCUUGUGUGCGGCCGUCAAUCCCCUGAGGCAAACAAGGAGCAGAGCCCAGUGAUGGCACCACGGGUCUGAGGGUGCCCAGGCCGCCCCUGUGAGCUGUUAGGGUCAUCCUGAGCGAUGGCUGCUGCAGAACCCUUCCCCCGGCGCCGUUUUCCUGCCUGAAGGACAAGGUGACAGGCUUGCUGCCCAGCACAGCUGCUGCUGGACACGGGAGAGACCGCGGACCGAGAGGCAGAGGUUGUGAGGGCCUCGCGGCGAGAUCCGAACGGCAGGUUCUCUGACAAACUGUUCCGGGAGGCAGGCUGGCGGAGCCCGGGGAGCCACGGGGGCUGUGCGAUCCCUGCAGGAGGCCACGGGCCGCACAGAAACGUGGCGCGUCCUGAUGGUGGUGCCGCCCGGAGCCCGGUCCCCAGGGCACCAGCAGGACCCGGGGCCUUCAGCCUGGCCUUCCCUGCUGUGAGGACACCCAACCCCCAACCUGCCGCAUUUAACAGCUCACACCCCGUGUCCUGCUUCUGAGGAAAAAGUUAAAAGGAGCUAAAAAGACAUUUUCCGGCCAGUUGGAGAACUCUGCAUGUGGGCGUCGGGAGAGGACCAGUAAUCCGGCCGGUGGUGCCGGGGACAGCACUCGGGGCUGCAGCGCCCCGGUGUUCGCGGUGGAAGUCACUGCCGCGCUGCCCGUCACAAAGGUGAGCAGGGGGAGAGCCACGAGGGACCACGGGCGCCGUCCACCGCGAGGCGGGGCGCCCAUCCCGCUGCCGCGCUGUCCUCGUCACGGGCCCCUGGGGAUGCCACGUCUGCCAUGUCCCAGCAGAGCCGCGGACCGGAGCCAGCCCUCAACCGCGAGGAGGCCCCCAGGGAGCGCGGCCGGGAGCCACAGGGCCACCGCUCGUCGGUGGAGGGGCACCAGCAGCGCUUCAUCUCGACAGCGUGGAAGCGCUCGGAACAGGAAGGGUUUGGGUUCACAGGCCUGUGGGCGGAAGCGGCACCUGCCGGCCCGCGUACUGACCUCAGGGGCAGCCUUGUCGCUGCGGCCCCCCGCCAGGGCCUCGGGCUUGUCGCGGCCCCGUGGGCUCUGUGAUCCCGUGACACGUUCCGAGGGCGCACAGCGCAGACCCUGCUCUGGACCCGACGCGCGCCAGAGGUCCUUGCCGCCGCCGGGGACGCGGGGAGCGAAGCGCCAGUGGUUCUCAAGGCCGACGAGCAGACCGACAUGGAGAGGGAGCUGGGCGGCCAAGUGGGGGACGCACCGAGGGACUGCGAGGGCCAGCACGCAGUGUGGGCGCUCCUGAAACCCGCCGGAGGGUCUCUGACUGCAUGGACCCUCGCUGAAGUCCCCGUGGUCGCCGGGCUCACGGCCUCUGCGGCAGCGCCUCCAGCCACCGAUGCCAUCGGGCCCCUCCUGCCACGGCACCAGAGGCCGCUGUGGCCUGAGGCCCGACCACUGCCCUCCCUCCGUCUGUCACAGGCAUUCUGUGGGGACGCGGGGUAUCUGAGAGGGACAGCGUCCACACGACUCCACCACUGUGCCCGGCUCCUCAGUUACCAGCUCCCGGUGCCCUGUGGCUUCAGGUGUCCGCGGUCUCAGCUGGGGGUCUGGGAAGCACGUUCUGUGGGCGCAGGGGACCGUCCACCCCCCCACAGCACAGAUCCCACGACCCCGGGGAGUCUGACCAGCACAGAAACCACCCUCGGCCCUGGUUUCUGUGAAGGUGGCAGCACAGCGGCCGCGGGGCGCAGGGCGGGGGGCACGCCCGUGAACCCCUUGUACUUGGGCUACUCCAGCAGGGCUGCAAGAAGGCCCAGGCUGGGCCCGGGAACGGAUCCUGUGGGACAGCCCGGGGCUGGUGAGCCAGCGCCUGGACUGGCAGGUGGGGCCUGGGGGGUCUGGGGGCGAGGACCUGCCCAGGGCCAGCUGGUGGGAUUGCCGGCUGCCGGCACAGCCACAGGGGACCAGAACGUGGGGACAGACGGCUCCCCACCCCUGGGAACGCACCGGAUCCCUCAGGAAAGGUCAGGCAGACGCCUCCUCGGCUCCCCCCCCCCCCCCCCCAGCUCACCUUGGCGUUCAGCUCCUCACCCAGUGGGUGAUUCUGAACAUUUGUUUAAAAGGAUCACAAAGUGAAAAAAACUGUCUUCGCGAAUUAAUCUGCAAAGCUUCCUGAAUAGAGAGCCCUGCUGGUCUUCUGUUCAGGCCAAGAAAUACCCACUGAAGAGUAAGCACGGAACCAGAAGGUCGGGAAGUGGCUAGAAGUAACCUGGGAGGGGCAGGCGGAGGCGGCUCCCUGGACACAGGGGAACCCUACUCCCCAGGCGGGGUCCUCUGGCCCCCUCGCUGACAGGACGUGGACUAGCUCUCCCUUGAGACAAGAAAGGAAAUCUCCAGAGGCAGGACCCCGAGGACAAGACGGGCACCGUGCCCCCCACGCCUGCUCCCUGAAGGACCUGCGCCCGGAGGCAGAGCUCGGCUGGCCGCGUGCGUGCCCAGUUUUUGAGGUACAUACCUGUCUCCUCUGGAACAGGCCACUCUUCCUCACAGACCUUCUUGUAAGAGACGGUGAUCUUUUCAGAAGACAAGGGUGAUUAAAAGUACUGUUGCUGGGAUGCUCGCGGCUUCUCAGCUGGGUGCGGCUCUAAUUCCUGACCCUAAACUCCACCCAGAGCACAGGCACGCCCCCCUGGUUCCUUACCGGCAGGACGGUGGAAGCAGGCGGCUCAAGUAUGCCAAAGAUACAUCCCAAAAACUUUGGUUGGAAUUGGUCAUUUAUUUAUGAAAUAGUCUACGUGUACUGUUUGCACUUUUAAAUGAGAUUUCAGGUAUCAAGAAAAGUGCCAUCAGCUUUGUGACUGAAGUCACCGUAAGGAGUCACCUCGAAGUCGAUGCCAAUAACCAUGCAGACUAAUAACGAAAGAGGAAAUGAACGAUGCUUUUAUUUUUUUAAAACCUCAGCGUUGAGAAUGAAUUCUGCCUUCUUCGAAGCCCAUCACUUUCCUUUUACAAAGUAAGCAACAGAAGGAGCAGAGACCGCUCGCUCUUUACACAGUGAAGUCGUGUGUUCACAGAAUGCAAACAAGAACCCCAAAGUCAAAACCACAUUCCCUCGUUAAGCCGUGAACAACACAAAGUUGCUUUGGUAAAUUCUAUCAGAAAAAAUACUUCUCUCCCAAAAGCACACCAAUAAAUAAAUUAAAAACCGCAAACAUACUUAUUUUCAUUUAAUCAGAUACAACAGAAGAAAAAGUUUAUUCUUACAUUAAUCUUUGUAGAUAAGAAAAAUGUGAUUUACAGUGCACGUUCCAAUUCCGAUCUGGCUUCGUCUUCAGAUUUUGAGAAACCGUAUUAUGAAGGACUGUCGUCAGCCUUGCGUCACCGAUUUGCACGGAGGUGAGUUACAGGCACUUGGCGUCGCCACACGUGGGUGCAGCGACCUGCAGCGGGUCUCGGGGUCCCGACUCCGCUCCGCCCACGCCGAGUCCCAGACCCAGCGCCUCCUCCCCUGCGCCUGCAGCUCGGGCUCCAACACACGCGCCCAGGUCACAGCCGCGUGGGGGCCGCCGCUGCCUACGGAGCCCUUUCCCUGAGGACUUGUUCCACCAACAUCUACCAGCAUCACCAGACACACCCCCAGCAUCUCAAGGUACUAACAAACCGGAUCUUGAUUUUCAUGCCACUUAAACCUGCCCCCCGUUCAAAACUCCGUCAAGUAAGCUUCUAGUAAGAAAAGAUGGGUGGACAGAUGGACGGAUGGAUGGAGGACAGACUGAUGCUGUACCAUCAGGAGUCCCGCCACGGGACCUGCGCAGGUUCCCACAGGUGUGUUCACUGCGUGGCACAGACGUGCACACGGAGCCAACGGGGGACCGUGUUUUCUCACGGGAGGUGUGCACAGUGUCACUGGAGGUUUUUGUUUUUAAUCAGAAACACCCUAAACCUUUCCCUCCAAACCACCAUUGCCUCGGGCAGCCGUGGCACCACCUGUGGACCCGGCCGUGCUGGGCGUCCGCCACUGGCCACUGCAACUGGCUCACUUUGGAAGCCAAACACCUGCACAUUAUAGAAAAGAGGCACUUGCAGUAUUUUAUCUACAGUUUUAACUCCAUCAGCAAAUUAGUGUUUUCCAAGAACAAAUCAGAGAAUCAAGUUGCUAAACCUGAUCCACACUGACGGUAUUUAACCUGCAAUCGCAGAACACAUUUUCAGAAGAACACGAAGAUCAGGAUGAGUAAGAUGAACCCUAAAGUAAGAACCACUGUCCCCGUCCUCCGUGCACGCGGGAGACGCCCCCUCCCAGCGCAAGUGAUGAAGAUGCUUUGCGGAGAGUGGCAUUUUGUGCUGCAUCCAAUGUAACCUUUGCUUUCCUGGUAUUUAGAUGAAAAAAGGUUUAAUUUGCCAGGUUGAACACAAUUUAACAUAACCUUUGGAAGAAUGGCUUCACAGCUGGAUCACGGGCUUCUGGGAAGAAAAGAGGGCCCAGCCCCGCCGCUACAGUCGAAUGUCAUGGACACACAUGGACACCACAUGCAGGACAUGGGGGUCACGGGGGGGGGACAGGGCACGCAGGGGAGGACAGGGCACAGCCCACAGGACCGCGUCCGGCAGCGCUGCGACCAGAAGGGGCAGACGUUUCCCAGGAGGCGGCCGCCGGCUGGGGCUGUCCUCCGUCAGCCACGGACAGGAACGUCUGGACGCGGGCGGGCAGAGAAGGUGCUCUGCUCUCGUCCACGUGGGAAGGGCCAGCGGACAUGGGAACGAACACAGCGUGAGACCGCAAACUCUCAGACCGGCACGGGGAGAGAAGACGCAGGGGCCGCGUCAGUUGUGGUUUGGGAACACUCGGCUCUGUGCGCCUCUCCCGUCCGCAGCGGGGCCGGAUGGUCACUCCAGCUCUUCCCAGUUGUCGGUCAGGUGGCCCCUGCUCUGCCGUCGGAUGCCGACCAGCCUCCCGGCCGACCGGAGGCUCCAGCGGGAGCUGUUCCCUGAGCUUGCCAGGCUGCUGUACUUGCUACGGCCCUUGGCGUCCUCGUCCCAGCCUGGCCGAGGGGGACGGCCACUCGCCGCGUCACCCGCGUGGGCUGUCACAUCUUCAGGAGCAAGCGCUGGAGGCUCCCAACCUUCAAUCUCAUCUGGUUUCUUAGACUGAAUAUUCUGUUUUAAAACCAAAUUGUCCCAAAAUCCAGACUUCUUCUCUGUCUUCAACUCCUCUCUUAACCGCAAGUUAGUUCUGUGGGAGACAAGACAGCCAAGUGUUGGUGACCAGUGAUCUCAGGGCCUCAAUUAGUGUCCACCGUAUACACCUAACACUAUUUUAAAAUUUAAGUCAUUUAGAAAGUGACCACAAAUCUGUAAUAAAGAAUUUUAAUUAAAAUUAGUAAAAAAA
Molecule: RNA transcript, 7022 nt
Organism: Mirounga angustirostris (Northern elephant seal)
Lineage: Eukaryota; Metazoa; Chordata; Mammalia; Carnivora; Phocidae
Gene: FBXO25
Gene name: F-box protein 25
Exons: 13
Source: RefSeq, a predicted model, not a curated record